CUCCUACGGGAGGCAGCAGUUAGGAAUAUUGGUCAAUGGGCGUGACUGUAACCAGCCAAGUAGCGUGAGGGAAGACUGCCCUAUGGGUUGUAAACCUCUUUUGUGCGGGGAUAAAGGUGAGGGACGUGUCCCUUAUUGCAGGUACCGCACGAAUAAGGACCGGCUAAUUCCGUGCCAGCAGCCGCGGUAAUACGGAAGGUCCGGGCGUUAUCCGGAUUUAUUGGGUUUAAAGGGAGCGCAGGCCGUCCUUUAAGCGUGCUGUGAAAUGCCGCGGCUCAACCGUGGCACUGCAGCGCGAACUGGAGGACUUGAGUACGCACGAGGUAGGCGGAAUUCGUGGUGUAGCGGUGAAAUGCUUAGAUAUCACGAAGAACUCCGAUUGCGAAGGCAGCUUACCGGAGCGCAACUGACGCUGAGGCUCGAAAGCGCGGGUAUCGAACAGGAUUAGAUACCCUGGUAGUCCGCGCGGUAAACGAUGGAUGCCCGCCGUUGGGUUUAUGAAUUCAGCGGCCAAGCGAAAGCGUUAAGCAUCCCACCUGGGGAGUACGCCGGCAACGGUGAAACUCAAAGGAAUUGACGGGGGCCCGCACAAGCGGAGGAACAUGUGGUUUAAUUCGAUGAUACGCGAGGAACCUUACCCGGGCUUGAAUUGCAGGAGAACGAUCCAGAGAUGGUGAGGCCCUUCGGGGCUCCUGUGAAGGUGCUGCAUGGUUGUCGUCAGCUCGUGCCGUGAGGUGUCGGCUCAAGUGCCAUAACGAGCGCAACCCCUGUCCAUAGUUGCCAUCAGGUUAAGCUGGGCACUCUGUGGAUACUGCCGCCGUAAGGUGUGAGGAAGGUGGGGAUGACGUCAAAUCAGCACGGCCCUUACGUCCGGGGCUACACACGUGUUACAAUGGGGCAUACAGCGAGUUGGAUGUGCGCAAGUACGUCCGGAUCAAUAAAGUGCCUCUCAGUUCGGACUGGGGUCUGCAACCCGACCCCACGAAGCUGGAUUCGCUAGUAAUCGCGCAUCAGCCAUGGCGCGGUGAAUACGUUCCCGGGCCUUGUACACACCGC
Molecule: ribosomal RNA, 1056 nt
Filed under: uncultured bacterium
Lineage: Bacteria
Description: bacterial SSU rRNA
Rfam family: Bacterial small subunit ribosomal RNA
Source: RNAcentral